AAUGUGAUUUUAAUAGGUUUGUUUUCAACCUACUUUAAACUCAUGAAGAUAUGAGGCCUUAUGUCAUCGUUAUAGUUACUACAUGUGAUCCUGUGUGUGUUGUGAGGAAGCGAGCUAGGAACGAGUACUGGAUGAACUCAAAAGCUUGCAACUCCUCUGCCAAAGCAAAGUCUGUCACAAGUUGCUAAAUACAUAACCACGCAAGUUAAAGAGACCCACACACUGAUAAGCCAGUAUUUCAGGGUGAUGAGCCUGCUGCGCACCAGCUAUGAAUCAAAAUCUUGUCUUUAAUCUUUCUUCUGCUAAGGGCUUUCUGCAUGGAUUUGGAGUAAGUCACUAUCUGAACUUUCAUUAACCCCUUUCACUCCUCCUCCCCCUGAAUUGAGAUCUGUAGAUUGGACCUAUUUACUUUGUCCAAGGCUGGAAGUAUAAACCUGCUGAUGGUUGUGAACUGCUUAGAUACCACAGUGAUCACACAUAGCCAAGUUUUAUAAAACUAUACUGUCAGGCCAAUAUUUUACAGUAAAAUUAUUUGGGGUUGACAGAAUUAGAGACAAAAGCAUUCAUGUAUCCUGGCACAGAAAUCCCAGCUUUGGGCAGCAGUUUAUCUGAUACAGAAGUCUGUGCAAGCAGCAGGCAUGUACCAGGUACAGCAUGCAAUUUCCUCAACACAGAGAACAUCAUCAACUCAAGUCUUUUCUCCUCUUUACUAUAUAUAUAUGUGAGUUUUAAUGUAAGAUUUCUAUUAUUGUGUAGCUUUGGGAAGACAGGCUUGUCAGCUGCUCUGACAAAGCAGCUUUUCACUGAAUGAAGUUGCUGGACUGGCAUCUUGAUAGAGACUCCCUUCUUUAGUUGUACUGGAUGUUGGGAUGGGGCUCCCGUGGGCAGUCUCUGACAUCCACCAGUUCCCCAAACAUGCUGAAGUGUGAUGGGGAUAGUGGUAAAGAUUUUAUUAGUACCACCGGUCUGACUAAAAGGGAAAUUUUGGCAAGACCAGAUAUAUCUGUAAAGAUAGCCUCAUUAAAACACCCUGUGUGAACUGAGGGUCCUUUGAAUCAGGCCAACAAGAUCUAUUUCUAGUUGCCUCAAAAGCUGCCCUGGAAUUCAAAAUUAAGAUUUCGGCUUUUCAAAAAUUGCAAAAAAAAAGCUAAGCUCAACUUUCUCUAUAUACAGCUUCACACUAAAAAGUUUUUCUUAGUGUAACAGGAACACCUUAAUUUUAAACUGGCCAGUUUACCCUACUGACUUUUGAGGAGGCCAAAGGCCACCUGUGUUUGCAGUCAGCACAUUCAGGCAGAGUGGGGUACCACAAAGCCACCUGAGUUAAGGUUACACAGAGCUAACACAUACUCACAUUAAUAGCAACAAGACCAGAACAAGGGCUCAAAUAAACUGUGCAUAUGUACACAAGUGCUAGGCUCACUUUCACACUUUCCAAUGCUCAUUAUAAAAAAAAAUAAUUAGUUGCACGCUAACCAAAUGCUUUGUCUGAGCACUAGAUCCUCACUUUGCAACCUACUUGAGCAACAUUUUAAAGCUGUGUUCUGAACUAAUUACUAUUCAAAACCAGGACUAUGAUAGUAGUAAGAAAUGCACUUAGCUGGCAUAAAUUUGACUAGCUUGUGUUUAUAUCAGGGAGAUGACAAGCAUGAAGUCAGUCUUUGUGGGAAGAGUCUCAUCCUUCAGGGUAUCAGCUUUCUGGAAAUGGCGCUGUUUCCUACAAUUCUCAUGGAAUUAACUUUUUUUACUGAUUUCAGGCCUAACAAAGAUAUAAGACUGGUUAAAUACUGAUUCCCUAAUUCAAAGUUAUAUACAGAUCUAAAAAGGUGCACUAAUUCAGGCAGCAGUUGUUCAAUUAAUUAUAGGAACAACGUUGUUAAAAAUUACAGCUUCAGUCUAUGCGACUUCAGUGAGACUGUCUUACGAGUUGCUCUUUACAACAAGGAAGCAUGUCUGAGGUCAUGUGAGACCAAAGCACAUGCUCACAACUGCAAGAAGAAGUUUAAUAUAGGGAAUACACAACUUUACAGAAACCCAUGCUGCGUUUCUGUAUAUGCUCUGCACCUCCCUGGGAGAUGCCUGCACCUCCUGGGGUCAGGCUCUUCACAAAUGGUUUCAAAUAAGUGAUCCCCAGAAAGUACUCUAACCCUGGAGACUGCUUGGCUCGUGACUGGUGCCAUGCAAGUUAAGCUAAGGAAGAGAUUAUUUGAAUCAUGGAGCCCUUUAGAAACCAGUAGACCAGUGAUCCCUCCAAACAUGCAGUAUUUUAUCCAUCAUUAAAGUUACUUAAGAAUCAUGUUGACAUCACAGCAUCUUUCACAACUGGCUGUAAUGAUCUUAACCAAAUUAAUCACUUGAAUUAUCUGGAACAGCAAAAGAAACCCAGGUUAUCUCAAAGGCAGUGGCUGAGAAUUACAUGUUAUUAUUUUCCACCUUUAGUUCGAGCAACUCUUUGUAGCUAUCUGAGUGCUGUAAACCACAACCAAGGCAAGCUGCGGCAGCCUGGCUCUCCAUCCGACCCGAGGCGGCUGAGGCAGCGUAUGCCCUCUGUACUGAACGGGGCACACUUCCCCACCCGAAGGCCGGCGGGAGGGUCGGCACCCCGAGGAAGGGGCUCUGGCCGGUGCCGAUGCCCGGCCCGGAGCACUGCCCCGCGGGCACCGGGCAUCCCCCACCCCAGCGCCGGGCGAUGCCGUGGCGCCCCGGCCCCGGCACCGCUAAAAAUAAAGCCCGUCUCCGCCUGCCCGCCCUCGGGAAUCGAGGUUGGAUCGAUGGUUUUCUUUUAAAGCCGGAUUUUAUCAAUCGCCCCCCACCCUCGCCAACCCGCCUCUGAACCGCCCAGCCCGGACCACAGCCCUGCGAAUAACUUCAGCGCCGGGAUCGCCGGCGGGCGGGGGGACGGGGCCGGGGAUCCGCGGGCAGCGCUCGGCACUCACCUGGCCGGCGGUGUCGUACAGCCCCAGCAGGUAUAUACAGAGAAACCAGCUUUUACAAGUGUAUGUAUAACUGUUUGAAGUCUAAAACACUGCACCAGUUUUCAACUGAGCUCAGCUUCUAUCUCUUCAGGGGAAAAAAAAAAAAAGAAGAAAAAUACCUGGUGGAUCUCUCUGGCACAUUUUACAGCUGGGUUUUUAGAAGUAUAUGAGUGACCUCCUUGUGAGUUCCAGAGCUCUGUGAAAGGAUGGAAAUGCUGUGGCAAAAGAGUCAUGCUGACAGAAGAGUAGAGAGGAAGGACCAGCAGUGUCAGUGGAAACAGGGGAUGUACACCUCUGACCCCUUCU
Long non-coding RNA from Passer domesticus (house sparrow), 3281 nucleotides. RefSeq lists it as uncharacterized. NCBI's taxonomy places the organism in Eukaryota, Metazoa, Chordata, Aves, Passeriformes, Passeridae. The record is from RefSeq and is a predicted model, not a curated record. The transcript is spliced from 3 exons.